This 72-nucleotide transfer RNA is filed under the name Ovis aries (sheep). It matches the Rfam family "tRNA". From Rfam's summary of the family: Transfer RNA (tRNA) molecules are approximately 80 nucleotides in length. Their secondary structure includes four short double-helical elements and three loops (D, anti-codon, and T loops). Lineage: Eukaryota; Metazoa; Chordata; Mammalia; Artiodactyla; Bovidae. The record is from Rfam by way of RNAcentral.
UCCCUGAUGGCUUAGAGGAUAAAGCGUCUGCCUGCAAUGCAGGAGACCUGGGUUCGAUCCCUGGGUUGGGAA